This 254-nucleotide ribosomal RNA is filed under the name uncultured bacterium. RNAcentral describes it as "partial 16S ribosomal RNA". It matches the Rfam family "Bacterial small subunit ribosomal RNA", at positions 524 to 776 of the family's 1533-position model. The record is from RNAcentral.
UACAGAGGUCUCAAGCGUUGUUCGGAUUCAUUGGGCGUAAAGGGUGCGUAGGCGGCGCGGUAAGUCGGGUGUGAAAUCUCGGAGCUUAACUCCGAAACUGCAUUCGAUACUGCCGUGCUUGAGGACUGGAGAGGAGACUGGAAUUUACGGUGUAGCGGUGAAAUGCGUAGAUAUCGUAAGGAAGACCAGUGGCGAAGGCGGGUCUCUGGACAGUUCCUGACGCUGAGGCACGAAGGCCCAGGGGAGCAAACGGG